Molecule: non-coding RNA, 894 nt
Organism: Myodes glareolus (Bank vole)
Lineage: Eukaryota; Metazoa; Chordata; Mammalia; Rodentia; Cricetidae
Source: RefSeq, a predicted model, not a curated record
CACUAUAACAAUAAUAAUCAUUUACAUUUCCUGAUUUCUGUUCCUGUUUACUACCAGAAAACCACCAGCUACCAAAAGAUUGCUAUUCAACUGCAGCAGCUCUCUGGUGUUGCUCUUGAACGACUUGGGACACUCCUACAGCAGGGAAGCUUUCCCUCAUCUCUCUACUGUCUCCUGCUUUCUUUUAUCAGUGGGCUGGCUUGCUCUUUCUCUCCCAAAGAGGGAAAUCCCAAUGCCUGUCUAGAUUCAGUCUGAAUACCAUACUCACUUGUCAUGACGGUUUUAUCUUGUUAUACAGCCUAGGGUUCCUACUUUCCCAUCACUUCUUCCCAAGUGAUGCCUCUCUGUGUAGACUUAUGUUUUUGGCAAUGAAAGUAAAUGUCAGACUAGACACAUGUGGCCUCUCUACUAGUUUCCUCACAGACAUGGCUGAUUACUGUAAAUUUUACUUUGGUCAGCGCUCAUCCCUAACUCCUCUCUCAGCAUUCACCGCUGCCAACUGAGACGAAUCAUUACCCCUCCUGCCUGGAUUUGCCAAAAAAUAUGUGGCUAAUUUAUCUCUUUGUCGCUUCUAGUUUCCCUGCUUCUGUACAACAGUUUUCUUGCCUACAAAAUUGGACACGUGACCAUUGCCACUCCAAGAGACAGUGAGUCUGGACAAAUCAAGUUGAACGGACCAGAAAUUUUCCUUGCCAUGGACAUGACUGUUUUCAUCUAUUUUGAGCUAGAUAUAUUAAUGCUCCUCUGAACAGUAUUGAUAAUUGGCUGAAAAAGCGUCUGUCUUCAGCAUAAGAAAUGAAGUCAAGGAGUGAAAAGAAUCAAGAAGAAGAAGAUGAGGUCAGGUCAAGGUAGAAAAGAACAGAAAGACCAGACAAAUUAACAUGAAAGUGCAGC